Molecule: ribosomal RNA, 253 nt
Filed under: uncultured bacterium
Lineage: Bacteria
Description: partial 16S ribosomal RNA
Rfam family: Bacterial small subunit ribosomal RNA
Source: RNAcentral
UACGGAGGGUGCAAGCGUUAUCCGGAUUCACUGGGUUUAAAGGGUGCGUAGGUGGGCAGGUAAGUCAGUGGUGAAAUCUCUGGGCUUAACCCGGAACUGCCGUUGAUACUAUCUGUCUUGAAUGUAGUGGAGGUGAGCGGAAUAUGUCAUGUAGCGGUGAAAUGCUUAGAUAUGACAUAGAACAUCGAUUGCGAAGGCAGCUCGCUACACUAUGAUUGACACUGGAGGCACGAAAGCGUGGGGAUCAAACAGG